This 497-nucleotide ribosomal RNA is filed under the name uncultured bacterium. Its description in RNAcentral is "partial 16S ribosomal RNA". It matches the Rfam family "Bacterial small subunit ribosomal RNA", at positions 28 to 507 of the family's 1533-position model. The record is from RNAcentral.
GAUGAACGCUGGCGGCGUGCCUAAUACAUGCAAGUCGAGCGAACAGACGAGGAGCUUGCUCCUCUGACGUUAGCGGCGGACGGGUGAGUAACACGUGGAUAACCUACCUAUAAGACUGGGAUAACUUCGGGAAACCGGAGCUAAUACCGGAUAACAUGGUGAACCGCAUGGUUCAACAGUGAAAGACGGUCUUGCUGUCACUUAUAGAUGGAUCCGCGCCGCAUUAGCUAGUUGGUAAGGUAACGGCUUACCAAGGCAACGAUGCGUAGCCGACCUGAGAGGGUGAUCGGCCACACUGGAACUGAGACACGGUCCAGACUCCUACGGGAGGCAGCAGUAGGGAAUCUUCCGCAAUGGGCGAAAGCCUGACGGAGCAACGCCGCGUGAGUGAAGAAGGUCUUCGGAUCGUAAAACUCUGUUAUUAGGGAAGAACAAAUGUGUAAGUAACUAUGCACGUCUUGACGGUACCUAAUCAGAAAGCCACGGCUAACUACGUG